UACGGAGGUGGCUAGCGUUACUCGGAAUUAUUGGGUGUAAAGGGCAAGUAGGCGGCAUAAUAAGUGGGUGGUGAAAUACUCCGGCUCAAUCGGAGAACAGCCUUCCAAACUGUUGUGCUUGAGUAUACCAGAGGAAAAGGGAAUUCUAGGUGUAAGGGUGAAAUCUGUAGAUAUCUAGAAGAACACCAGCGGCGAAGGCGCUUUUCUGGGGUAUUACUGACGCUAAAUUGCGAAAGCUAGGGGAGCAAACAGA
Molecule: ribosomal RNA, 253 nt
Filed under: uncultured bacterium
Lineage: Bacteria
Description: partial 16S ribosomal RNA
Rfam family: Bacterial small subunit ribosomal RNA
Source: RNAcentral